ACAAAAAUCUGGCAACAAAUGCCUGGGUCGGAUUAUACAAUGAUAUCAAUAGCUGGCGCUGGUCCUUAAACGACCUCCCACUGAAGAAUGUCACUUAUACAAACUGGUACCCAGGAGAUCCUAAUAAUCUCGGUGGAAAUGAAGCAUGUGUUAUGAUAGGUAGCUCUAAUACAUGGUGUGAUGCACCAUGUAUACAUCCAAAACCCUUCAUCUGCUAUAAUGCUAAUUUCAGUGGUGCUGCCCGGUUUAUUGGCAUCACUACACCUCUGUCCUGGCCUCAAGCUCAGGCUUACUGUAGAAAAUAUCACACAGAUUUGGCCAGCGCUCUUAACAGUUCAGACCAAAACAUGUUAUGGCAGUUUCUACUAUGAGGAAUCAGACAGUGAGACUGCAGGUGAAGUCUGAUGGUAGUGUGUUUGAUCCUGCUGUUCAGUCGUCCAUUUUAGAUCAGAUGAAGCAGAAACUAAAAGAACAUGGCAUGUUGGAGAACACCACAGUGACCUGGAGGGUGCAGAAAGAUGGAAACAUCUUCAAGAAAGAAAAAGAUGACCUGUAACAUCUAAAUGUUCACCUUCAAGUCCAGCAGAUUGUAAACUGACUGAAAUAUAUUUAACCUUCAAUAUAUAAGCUUUAUUCAGUAGGGGGCGGUAGAGCACAAGAUUAACUAGAAGUAGAAUAACAAACAUCUCAUUUUAUUGCUCUGUUUGUGACACAACCACUUUGACUUCAUCUUAAAUUUAACUUUACUUUCAAUGUUUUGUCAAAUAAUUAUUAUUUAAUAUGUUCAGCUUUUGCUGAAAGCUGCCACUGUACACAGUGAUAAGGAGAAAGUCAAAGAGGGUCUGUUCAUAUACUGGGUUUAAUACAUCAGUGUGUCGUAGUAAAGAAUAAAUCCUAUAUAGAAGAGAGAGAAUGUAACAGAACCUGUAAAUACACUGUGUGUACUUAGAACAGUCAGAUAUAAUGACCUUGACACUAUUACUGUCCUUUUAUUCUUAUCUCUAUUUAGAUAUAUUUACUUAUUUUGUUGUAAUUUAUUAUAAUAUCUGUACUUAUGGGCUAUAGGGUUAUACAUUAAUAUAAUCAAUAAACAAUUUAAAAAUAAUACUUUUGUUUUUGUAACAAUCAUAGAUUAACUUUUAUUAUGGUCUGAUUUUAUUAAUACUGUGAGAUUUAAAUUCAUUGUUAAAAACCCAUCAUCUUUAUCAACAUUAUCAUCAUCAUCAUCAUCAUUGUACAUCAUCACUGUACUACAAAACUGUCUUCAUGUCAUGAGCAAACAGAGCAAAGAGUCUGCAACAAUUACAAUCACCACAAGUUGGCAGUAAAAGAAUCAUUAACACAAACAGACGUUCUGAAAUGGAGGAGCUACAGAUCUAAACAAAAUAGAUAAUGAAGAUCCUCCUAUUUGUUCAUCUGUUUGGGAAGCAGGUGAUGA
Long non-coding RNA from Tachysurus fulvidraco (yellow catfish), 1438 nucleotides. RefSeq lists it as uncharacterized. The record is from RefSeq and is a predicted model, not a curated record. NCBI's taxonomy places the organism in Eukaryota, Metazoa, Chordata, Actinopteri, Siluriformes, Bagridae. The transcript is spliced from 4 exons.